RNAcentral lists this long non-coding RNA (812 nucleotides) under Monodelphis domestica (gray short-tailed opossum). RNAcentral describes it as "lncRNA (ENSMODG00000031193.2)". The record is from RNAcentral. Lineage: Eukaryota; Metazoa; Chordata; Mammalia; Didelphimorphia; Didelphidae.
GAGGAGGAUCUUGGGAUUUGACUGGUUUUAAUGGCCACACCUGAUUCUGGUUUUUCCACUGCAUCAGAAGGAAGAUCUUUGCUCUGGCAUUUCCCUGGAAAUCCUGGUCUUGUGGAAAGAUUUGGAUACUCAUGGGUGGGACAUCUGCCUUGAAGGAGACUACUUUUCCCUGGAGUGCUGAGAGUCAUCUGUCUGACAGCUACCAGUCAAAGACCACUUGGCUAAGCUUAGAGUCUAAGAAAAUUUCCAAAAGCACUGAAAGUUUAAGUGACUUGUCAAGAGGAACACAGCCAUUAUGCAUCACAACUGGGACAUCAAUGGAGGUCUUUCUGAUUCUGCUGACAAGUCACUAUCUACUAGUCUAUUUUGAUCUUCACCUGAAACACAGAAAGGAAGAUCUCAUGGGGAAAUGAGCAGAAUCAGGAAUACAAUUCAUGCCAAAACAGCAAAAUUCAAAGACAACAGGACAGGAGAAAAGGCUCCAUGUCGAGAACAAAGUGCAACAUUCAAAUACAGUCACUGGAGAAGGAAGAGUCACUAGCAGAAGUGAAGAGAAGAGGCAAGCCAUUGAAAUAUAACCGUGGCCCCAACUUCCAGAAAAAGAAUUAAUUCAGAGUCUUAAUAGAAUGGGGAUAAGGUUUAUAUAGAGUAAAUAAUAUAAGAGCAAUACAAAAGGUAGAUAAUAUGAUAUAGGUUGUAUAUAUUAUCAUAUAAUACAUAUUUCUACAUUCAUUAUAUUGUGAAAUAAGAUGCAUAUUGUUUACAGUAGAGAAGAAUUCAUGGGGUAAAUAAAGUGACAAACAGUCAUUUCA